CGAACGGGUGCGUAACACGUGAACAACCUGCCCUCGUGUGGGGGAUAGCCAUGCUAACGCGUGGGUAAUACCGCAUACGUUCUUUCUGGGGAGUCCUGGGAAGAGGAAAGCUCCGGCGCACGGGGAGGGGUUCGCGGCCUAUCAGCUAGUUGGCGGGGUAAUGGCCCACCAAGGCGACGACGGGUAGCUGGUCUGAGAGGAUGGCCAGCCACAUUGGGACUGAGAGACGGCCCAG
This 235-nucleotide ribosomal RNA is filed under the name uncultured bacterium. Its description in RNAcentral is "partial 16S ribosomal RNA". It matches the Rfam family "Bacterial small subunit ribosomal RNA", at positions 99 to 334 of the family's 1533-position model. The record is from RNAcentral.